GACGAACGCUGGCGGCGUGCUUAACACAUGCAAGUCGAACGGAAAGGCCUGCUUUCCCUUGUGGAUUGCGGGUACUCGAGUGGCGAACGGGUGAGUAACACGUGAGUGAUCUGCCCCCAACUUGGGUAUAAGCCUGGGAAACUGGGUCUAAUUCCCGAUAGGACUGCAGGGUGGUGCCUGUGGUGGAAAACGAUUUUCUAGUGGUUGGGGAUGAGCUCGCGGCCUAUCAGCUUGUUGGUGGGGUAAUGGCCUACCAAGGCGGCGACGGGUAGCCGGCCUGAGAGGGUAGACGGCCACAUUGGGACUGAGAUACGGCCCAGACUCCUACGGGAGGCAGCAGUGGGGAAUAUUGCACAAUGGGCGGAAGCCUGAUGCAGCGACGCCGCGUGGGGGAUGACGGCCUUCGGGUUGUAAACUCCUUUCGACCGCGAGGAAGCCACCUGGUUGGAAGGGUGGUGACGGUAGUGGUAGAAGAAGCACCGGCUAACUACGUG
This 494-nucleotide ribosomal RNA is filed under the name uncultured bacterium. RNAcentral describes it as "partial 16S ribosomal RNA". It matches the Rfam family "Bacterial small subunit ribosomal RNA", at positions 28 to 507 of the family's 1533-position model. The record is from RNAcentral.